Molecule: ribosomal RNA, 1140 nt
Filed under: Triticum aestivum (bread wheat)
Lineage: Eukaryota; Viridiplantae; Streptophyta; Magnoliopsida; Poales; Poaceae
Description: partial small subunit ribosomal RNA
Source: RNAcentral
AUGGAGCCGCGCUCAGCCCCAAAGUGCAUAGCCUUCUUCUUCCUCCCUCUCCUCGCCUGCGUGCAUUACGCUCAGGCACACCCUGGUCGUCCCUCCAUCGACUCCAUCUUCAGCUUCGGCAACUCGUACGCCGACACCGGCAACUUUGUGAAGCUCGCCGCCCCGGUGUUCCCGGUCAUCCCCUUCAACAACCUCCCCUACGGCGAGACCUUCUUCGGUCGCCCCACCGGCCGAGCCUCCAAUGGCCGCAUCACCAUGGACUUCAUCGCCAGUGAGUUCGGGCUCCCUUUCGUCCCCCCGAUUCUCGGCAAAGAGCGUAACUUCACCCGUGGAGCAAACUUCGCCGUCGUCGGCGCCACGGCGCUGGAUCUCGCCUACUACCUGGAGAACAACAUCACGAGCGUGCCCCCUUUCAACAGCUCCUUGAGCGUGCAGCUCGACUGGUUCCGGCAGCUAAAGCCCACUUUGUGCUCAACGCCACGAGCAUGCAGGAACUACUUCAAGAGAUCGCUCUUCUUCAUGGGAGAGUUCGGAGGGAACGACUACACCUUCCUCAUGGCCGCCGGGAAAACCUUCGGCGAGGUCGCGCCGUACGUUCCAAAGGUCGUGCGAUCCAUCUCAGCAGGCGUCGAGGCGGUGCUCAAGGAGGGAGCGAGGUACGUGGUGGUGCCGGGGCAGCUGCCGACGGGGUGCAUCCCCAUCGUACUGACGCUGUACGCGAGCCCCAACAAGCGGCACUACGACCGCCGGACCGGGUGCCUGAGGAAGUACAACGCGCUCGCGCGCUACCACAACGGGGUGCUGUUCGAGGCCGUGUACCGGCUCCGGAUCAAGUACCCCGCCGCCAAGAUCGUCUACGCCGACUACUACGCGCCGCUCAUCGACUUCCUCAAGAAACCGAAAAAAUUCGGGUUCAGUGCUUCGUCGAAGCUCCGGGUGUGCUGUGGCGCCGGCGGGCCGUACAACUACAACAUGACGGCGGCGUGCGGGUUUCCCGGCGUGAGCGCCUGCACUAACCCCGCGGCGCACAUCAACUGGGACGGCAUCCACCUGACGGAGCCGGCGUACGAGCGCAUCGCCGACGGUUGGCUCUGGGGCCCGUACGGGCACCCGCCCAUUCUCAAGGCCACGCGUCAGUAA